This is a non-coding RNA of Schistosoma mansoni, 45 nucleotides long. Lineage: Eukaryota; Metazoa; Platyhelminthes; Trematoda; Strigeidida; Schistosomatidae. The record is from Rfam.
AUCCAGCUGACUAGUCCCAAAUAGGACGAAACGUGUGUCAUGAAU